CUUGUAUUUCAUGAAGAGGAACAAUCUCACUUGCUCUGGCUGAGAAGUUGAAAUCUGCAUCUGCAAACUUCCACUGUCAGAGUUCUCUUUGAGUUAGAUUAUUUACUUAUUUAUAAACCUAUUUUAAAAGCUCAUCACUCUGCUUUCUUGGCUAUAGGCUGAAAUGUGCCAGGGUUACCAAGGUGCAAGUAGCAGAUUGAACGAGCACUGUGGCUGAGUAAUGUGAACAGGGGUGAUUCCUCAGGCAAGCGUAGUGAAACAGCUACUGUGUAUCUCUGCAACUUCCAAAGCUGGCUGGAGCUAGAUAUGAGGUGUUUACAAGGUAACCACCAGAACCAGCGUAUUCAAAGCUACAGAACUGGCAGACAUCAGUAUCUAAUAGCUGGUGUCCUUCCUCCUUUCCUCCCGUUACAUACGCUCUGUGAAAUGGUGUCAGUGAAGACAACCAAGCCUGCUCUUCUUUUUCCCCAAGCAACUCACAAAUUAUUUGGGAAUCUCAGAGAAGCCCAGCACCAGACAUCAUUAAUUCUCUAG
Molecule: long non-coding RNA, 534 nt
Filed under: Numida meleagris (helmeted guineafowl)
Lineage: Eukaryota; Metazoa; Chordata; Aves; Galliformes; Numididae
Description: lncRNA (ENSNMEG00000020659.1)
Source: RNAcentral